Molecule: ribosomal RNA, 216 nt
Filed under: Glomeromycotina sp.
Lineage: Eukaryota; Fungi; Glomeromycota
Description: partial small subunit ribosomal RNA
Rfam family: Eukaryotic small subunit ribosomal RNA (bases 44-216)
Source: RNAcentral
GGGUCAGUAGGUUGGUCGUGCCACCGGUACGUACUGGUCUCACUGAUUCCUCCUUCCUGAAGAACCGUAAUGCCAUUAAUUUGGUGUUGCGGGGAAACAGGACUGUUACUUCGAAAAAAUUAGAGUGCCUAAAGCAAGCUAACGCUUGAAUACAUUAGCAUGGAAUAAUGAAAUAGUACGAUCGAUCCUAUUUUGUUGGUUUCUAGGAUUGACGUA